CCUCUAUUGUAUGGUGUAGGUUAGAGUUUUCAGAGAAACCACUCAUCAUUAUUCUCCUGGAAUUGGUUGUCUGGUGCGAAGACACAGAAGAUAGCCAAGUAAAUCAGCAAGAACCCGUUAGGUAGUGAUUAUCGCUAUUGGGUGAAGUUUAAAUGGUCGGUGACAUGUGACAGGAAAUGGCAGGGGUAGGACAGCAAGCUGGGGUUUGGGAGAUGACCCUCUGAGGUCCUGCAUGAAAAUUAACCCAGUCCUGAAGGUGCAGAGGCAGUCGUAAGAGGUGCGGGUUCAGCAGGUGGAAAGCCUGACACGAGCGAGUGGAAGGAGCAGAAGGACCUAGGCUGGAUGAAGCAACAGGAGGAAAGGUUCUCAGCUGAGACACGUGAUCAUUCCCUUACAUCUGUGCUGUGUAUCAGACUCCAGAGGCCCCCCGGAGACCCUUCCCCCAUCCAUACCACGGACACCCAGGGAGGCAGAGCAGGCACAAUCCAAGAUGGCGCCUCCUUGGCAGAUGAGGGAGCUGAGCCUGAGAGGGGAGAGAGAAAAGUGGGACUUGACUUUCUCACUCUGCACACCUGCAUGCUCUAAAUGGCCCUUCGGCCCUUCGUGGUGUCGCCUGACUUUGAGGAGGCAUUUACGCAACUAAGACCUGGAACUGUGGAGCUCCAUGAUGGUCGGCACGUUCCCUUGUGGCCAACUCCGUGCCCUGUGCUCCUCUUCAUCUUUCUCCAAGCCCCAGACAGGAGACGGUGAAAUCCAAACCAGGCUAUUAAAUGUUAUGAAACUAAGUUGCACCUUGCGACUGCUGGGUUAGAACUCAGAAUAAAAGCAGAUGCUAAUG
Heterocephalus glaber (naked mole-rat) is the source of this 838-nucleotide long non-coding RNA. NCBI's taxonomy places the organism in Eukaryota, Metazoa, Chordata, Mammalia, Rodentia, Bathyergidae. The record is from Ensembl.